Molecule: long non-coding RNA, 1504 nt
Organism: Anopheles coluzzii
Lineage: Eukaryota; Metazoa; Arthropoda; Insecta; Diptera; Culicidae
Exons: 3
Source: RefSeq, a predicted model, not a curated record
AUUACGUGCCGCGAUCAGUCUUACGCCGAGCGUGAAUCGGAUCGGUGAAUUGAGCGAAGAAGCCAGCAAGCAAAGCAAAGUUUGGUUAGCUAGUUGAUGAAACCCUGAAGGAGCGAGUUUCAACGGCACAACAGUUUCACCGAGUAAAGUCUACGUGCGCUCUGUCCACAAACUUCGCUGUGUAUAGCUCACUAACUCUAGUUCCAUUUAAACCCACGCAAAGAACUAAGCAUCCUCAGAGAGAAGGAAAAGGCGCUGAGCAUCAUGAAUAAGUGACGGUUUGGCGCGUGAUGAAAACAAUGCGAAAUUUUAUUCUGCUUUACUGCACCUUCCCGACCCUGGACCUCUAUGGUUGGCCAGCAGAAUACAUUGACCCUGGUUGUUUCGACCUCAUUAUUUCCACCUAAACGCCUUCAUUGCAGCGAUGGACAACAUUGAUGAUUAAUUUCAAAAUUAAGGAGGAUGUCUGGCCGAUAUAGUCAUAAGCGUCUUUAGUAUUUUAAAAGUCUGGGCACUUUUCUUAAUUUUUUUAUUCUUUGUUUUGUUUCUUUGUUUCUCAAAUCUUAUUUUUCCUUUCGUUUUUCUUGAAGUUUCAUAUUUUUCUCGUUAGGCUUUUGAACAAUUUUUCAUUAGAUUAAAGCAUCAUAAAUUCAGCCUUAUUACUUAUUUUCAAUUUAACAGGAGAUCAAGCAUUAUAAUAAAUUAUUUCUCACAUUUUUAAAGAAAGAGGUCAACCUAAUCUAAGAAGCAUUAAAGAAUUUCAUGUUGCCAAAAUUUCUCAUUACUUUUUUAAAAUUUUCGUGUUAACUAAAUUCUUGUCCCAGAAUUACUUUUGAUUGAAUUUACUUUAAUAUUAUGAUCAAUAUUUUAAUUACUUGAUAAAUGGAUUGGCUUAGCUUAACAUAACUUUGUUAUUGGCUUAAAAACAUUUAUAUUUGGUUUCAUUAUAUCAUUUUCAAUAUUUUUUUCAUUUCAAAAUACGUAUUAAGUUUUUUUUUCUUAUAUGUUCAUAAAAUUUUUCAACGUUUUAAUUGUAUCGAUAAAUUUAUUGGCAAGAAAAUCGUUGCUAUUAACUUAAUUUACAAGAAUACAAAAAAUGCAUGACAAGAUUUAAAAUAUUAAAAAGAUGUUUAAAUAUUUAGAUUUACGAAAUUAACUAGAAUACGAAACAUUACCUGUUGCAGCGUUAUAAGAGAGUACAUAGAGCGGUAAUUUUUUUGACUAACAAAUGUAAAACAUUAAUUACAUGUAAGAAUUUCUGAAUUUUCGUACUAAUUUUCUAAUAAGUUAAUUUACUAGCCCUAUUUACACUCACAAAAGGAUAAAUCAUAGCCCUAUGAAAGCGUCACAACGAACCUGAUUGCCCGAUCAAAAAGCCUGAUUAAAUUGGACCACCGCAUGCAUUCAUCAGCAUUUCACCAUUAUGCCGUAAAUUAUUUGUAUAACUUUAUUUUUUGAACUAGUUUUAAUUUGAAUAAAAAUGUAAGCAUUAAUGUAACCCUUA